CGUACACUCCUGCGGGAGGCAGCAGUGGGGAAUAUUGGACAAUGGGCGCAAGCCUGAUCCAGCCAUGCCGCGUGAGUGAUGAAGGCCCUAGGGUUGUAAAGCUCUUUCACCGGUGAAGAUAAUGACGGUAACCGGAGAAGAAGCCCCGGCUAACUUCGUGCCAGCAGCCGCGGUAAUACGAAGGGGGCUAGCGUUGUUCGGAUUUACUGGGCGUAAAGCGCACGUAGGCGGACUAUUAAGUCAGGGGUGAAAUCCCGGGGCUCAACCCCGGAACUGCCUUUGAUACUGGUAGUCUUGAGUUCGAGAGAGGUGAGUGGAAUUCCGAGUGUAGAGGUGAAAUUCGUAGAUAUUCGGAGGAACACCAGUGGCGAAGGCGGCUCACUGGCUCGAUACUGACGCUGAGGUGCGAAAGCGUGGGGAGCAAACAGGAUUAGAUACCCCGGUAGUCCCAUGAU
This 455-nucleotide ribosomal RNA is filed under the name uncultured organism. Its description in RNAcentral is "partial 16S ribosomal RNA". It matches the Rfam family "Bacterial small subunit ribosomal RNA", at positions 330 to 801 of the family's 1533-position model. The record is from RNAcentral.